This 203-nucleotide unclassified non-coding RNA is filed under the name Hevea brasiliensis (rubber tree). Lineage: Eukaryota; Viridiplantae; Streptophyta; Magnoliopsida; Malpighiales; Euphorbiaceae. The record is from RNAcentral.
AGAAUUUCCAAAUUUCUACCAAUUGAAGUUUCACACAAACAGGUUACAUAGCCAAAACUAACAUAAUUUUUCAAAUGAACUUCUAGGUUUAUCUAAAGACUUUAGGGUGUAUACUUUUAUUGACAACUCUGCAUUAUUUUUUUCCCUUUUAAUUCCUUAGAGAAUAUUUUAACUUUUUUUUGAGUUUGAAAUAGUUUUGAGGA